UACAGAGACUGCAGGCGUUAUUCGGAUUCACUGGGCGUAAAGGGUGCGCAGGCGGCUAGGUGUGUCAGAUGUGAAAUCCCGAGGCUCAACCUCGGAACUGCGUCUGAAACUACUUGGCUAGAGUACUGGAGAGGGUAACGGAAUUCACGGUGUAGCAGUGAAAUGCGUAGAUAUCGUGAGGAACACCAGAGGCGAAGGCGGUUACCUGGACAGUUACUGACGCU
This 224-nucleotide ribosomal RNA is filed under the name uncultured bacterium. Its description in RNAcentral is "partial 16S ribosomal RNA". It matches the Rfam family "Bacterial small subunit ribosomal RNA", at positions 524 to 747 of the family's 1533-position model. The record is from RNAcentral.